This 324-nucleotide ribosomal RNA is filed under the name uncultured bacterium. RNAcentral describes it as "bacterial SSU rRNA". It matches the Rfam family "Bacterial small subunit ribosomal RNA", at positions 28 to 353 of the family's 1533-position model. The record is from RNAcentral.
GACGAACGCUGGCGGCGUGCUUAACACAUGCAAGUCGAGCGGUAAGGCCCUUUCGGGGGUACACGAGCGGCGAACGGGUGAGUAACACGUGGGUGACCUGCCCUUAGCUCUGGGAUAAGCCUGGGAAACUGGGUCUAAUACCGGAUAUGACUCCAUGACGCAUGUUGUGGGGUGGAAAGCCUUGUGCGGCUAGGGAUGGGCCCNCGGCCUAUCAGCUUGUUGGUGGGGUGAUGGCCUACCAAGGCGACGACGGGUAGCCGGCCUGAGAGGGCGACCGGCCACACUGGGACUGAGACACGGCCCAGACUCCUACGGGAGGCAGCA